UGGGGAAUAUUGGACAAUGGGCGCAAGCCUGAUCCAGCAAUGCCGCGUGUGUGAAGAAGGCCUGCGGGUUGUAAAGCACUUUCAGUGGGGAAGAAGGCCUUAGCAUUAAUACUGCUGAGGAUUGACGUUACCCACAGAAGAAGCACCGGCUAACUCUGUGCCAGCAGCCGCGGUAAUACAGAGGGUGCGAGCGUUAAUCGGAAUUACUGGGCGUAAAGGGUGCGUAGGUGGUUAAUUAAGUCAGAUGUGAAAUCCCUGGGCUCAACCUAGGAAUUGCGUUUGAAACUGGUAAGCUAGAGUACAGUAGAGGGAAGUGGAAUUUCCGGUGUAGCGGUGAAAUGCGUAGAUAUCGGAAGGAACAUCAGUGGCGAAGGCGACUUCCUGGACUGUUACUGACACUGAGGCACGAAAGCGUGGGGAGCAAACAGGAUUAGAUACCCCCGUAGUCC
Molecule: ribosomal RNA, 449 nt
Filed under: uncultured bacterium
Lineage: Bacteria
Description: bacterial SSU rRNA
Rfam family: Bacterial small subunit ribosomal RNA
Source: RNAcentral